RNAcentral lists this transfer RNA (59 nucleotides) under Hiratettix distanti. RNAcentral describes it as "tRNA-Arg". The record is from RNAcentral. RNAcentral also lists the same sequence under 1 other name. Lineage: Eukaryota; Metazoa; Arthropoda; Insecta; Hemiptera; Cicadellidae.
AAAGAAGUAAAAAUACAUUUAGUUUCGACCUAAAUAUAGGAAAUAAAUUCCCAUGUUUU